Molecule: ribosomal RNA, 262 nt
Filed under: Bacillus thuringiensis serovar yunnanensis
Lineage: Bacteria; Bacillati; Bacillota; Bacilli; Caryophanales; Bacillaceae
Description: partial 16S ribosomal RNA
Rfam family: Bacterial small subunit ribosomal RNA
Source: RNAcentral
UUUAUUGGAGAGUUUGAUCCUGGCUCAGGAUGAACGCUGGCGGCGUGCCUAAUACAUGCAAGUCGAGCGAAUGGAUUAAGAGCUUGCUCUUAUGAAGUUAGCGGCGGACGGGUGAGUAACACGUGGGUAACCUGCCCAUAAGACUGGGAUAACUCCGGGAAACCGGGGCUAAUACCGGAUAACAUUUUGAACCGCAUGGUUCGAAAUUGAAAGGCGGCUUCGGCUGUCACUUAUGGAUGGACCCGCGUCGCAUUAGCUAGUU